Molecule: ribosomal RNA, 375 nt
Filed under: uncultured bacterium
Lineage: Bacteria
Description: bacterial SSU rRNA
Rfam family: Bacterial small subunit ribosomal RNA
Source: RNAcentral
CUACGUAGGGUGCAAGCGUUAAUCGGAAUUACUGGGCGUAAAGCGUGCGCAGGCGGUUUGGAAAGAAAGGUGUGAAAUCCCAGAGCUUAACUUUGGAACUGCACUUUUAACUGCCAAGCUAGAGUAUGUCAGAGGGGGGUAGAAUUCCACGUGUAGCAGUGAAAUGCGUAGAGAUGUGGAGGAAUACCGAUGGCGAAGGCAGCCCCCUGGGCUAAUACUGACGCUCAUGCACGAAAGCGUGGGGAGCAAACAGGAUUAGAUACCCUGGUAGUCCACGCCCUAAACGAUGUCAACUAGCUGUUGGGGCCUUCGGGCCUUAGUAGCGCAGCUAACGCGUGAAGUUGACCGCCUGGGGAGUACGGUCGCAAGAUUAAA